AAACAAAAUAGUUGUACUUGGAGGCGAAUAGAGUCUGAGUGGCCUGAGUGAUGAUUCGUGGGUGGGUGGAGAGGGGUGGGGUUUGUUAGCAGUCUGAUGGCCCAGGGGAGGAAGCUGUUAGUGAGUCUGGAGGUGUGGACCUGACUGACCUCAGGUGCAUCGGGUCAAACAGGCGGUGGGCGGGGAUGCCAGGGCUCUGUGAUGGGCUUGCUUUACCUGAAACAGGAAGAUGGCAAUGGUCCUGGUUAGAGCAGGGGGACAUGGCCAAAAAUAUUUAUCACGAUAUACAUUUGAAAAUUUGCGAUAACGAUAUAACUGACACGAGACAAAAUACUUUACAACGCCACAACUUUAUUAGUGCAAAAAAAACAUCAGUGUAUUUUCACUUAAACAAGCAGCUGUUUUUUAUCUGCAUUAAAGUUAUAUAAAAACAUAACAGUGCAAAUGCAAACUCCUCGCUGACAGUUUAACCAAAAGGCAUUUCCAGUGGAAACUGGCCGACAUGUCCUCAGCAUAACCAUGUAUCAUAUCCACAAAACUUAAAAAGAGGUUAUACACACACAAUAUGGUAAUAUCAGGGGUCGGCAACCCCGGGCACGCUGCAGCUGGCACACAAAGGGUUAACUGAUGGCACGACCAUAGCUGGACUGUGAUUUUUCGUUUUUAUGGGUCAAUGAUUUUUUUAUUUUAUUUUAUUUUUGUAACGGUAUAAACAGUGAGAGGUGGUGGAUUGGCCAGAUGCUGGUCGAUGUGUAACAAUAACUCUGUUGUUUGGUGGUGGCUGUGGCGGAGCUUCCACUGAGGCAACAGGUGGAUGAGGGAAGGGGAGGCAGGAGGAGGAGGAGAGACCCGAGGCGGCCGCCAGUCCGAGUGUCAGGUGAACUGAACUUCGGGUAAGAAGUUAUGACCUGCAGUCUGUCUGGGUCAGAUAUAAACCAAGUUUAGGUGGAGUUUAUUUUGUUGUGCUGACUUUUUACCGUCAGUUACAAUAACUCGUACUGCGUGAGCUAGCAUGACGGAGUUUCUAUACAGCUGGGUGGGUGCUAUGAUGUCACUGAUAGUGAACUUUAUUUUAUUCAUAAGGUCAGUUAGUAGAGUUGCCAACCGUCCUGUACAAAACGGAAUCGUCCCACAUUCAGAGAAAAUAUUACUCGUUUUGUGUUGAGCUGAGAAGGAACGCAGUUUGUCCCAGGCCAGGUAGGAUGGAUUCCCAGAACACCGGACUUCAGCUACAAUGAAAAAGACACAAAGCUGGAUUUAUUCUGUGUUUACGCUGCACAGAUGCCUCUUCUCCUCUCUCUCCUGUUACUGCGGUCAAGUGAGCCCUCACUUACGAAGUCACAGUCAAGCUAGCCGCUCCGCCAGCCGCACCGAGAAUGUGGUUGCACUACUCUUACGUAUAUUACGGUAUGGGUGAAGACUGGCUUAGAAACGCAGUGUUUUCUGUCCUGACACUAUUUUACUUCACAAUCCACUCCCAGUUUUAGUGUAUCUCCACUUUCCCCCCUGUGAUCCACAGCCCAAAUUACUGUAUGAUUCAGAGAAAAUUAACAAUAAAAUUUACCCAAUUUAC
Long non-coding RNA from Astatotilapia calliptera (eastern happy), 1573 nucleotides. The record is from Ensembl. NCBI's taxonomy places the organism in Eukaryota, Metazoa, Chordata, Actinopteri, Cichliformes, Cichlidae.